ACACUCCUACGGGAGGCAGCAGUGGGGAAUUUUGGACAAUGGGCGAAAGCCUGAUCCAGCAAUGCCGCGUGUGUGAAGAAGGCCUUCGGGUUGUAAAGCACUUUUGUCCGGAAAGAAAUCCUUGGCUCUAAUACAGUCGGGGGAUGACGGUACCGGAAGAAUAAGCACCGGCUAACUACGUGCCAGCAGCCGCGGUAAUACGUAGGGUGCGAGCGUUAAUCGGAAUUACUGGGCGUAAAGCGUGCGCAGGCGGUUUGCUAAGACCGAUGUGAAAUCCCCGGGCUCAACCUGGGAACUGCAUUGGUGACUGGCAGGCUAGAGUAUGGCAGAGGGGGGUAGAAUUCCACGUGUAGCAGUGAAAUGCGUAGAGAUGUGGAGGAAUACCGAUGGCGAAGGCAGCCCCCUGGGCCAAUACUGACGCUCAUGCACGAAAGCGUGGGGAGCAAACAGGAUUAGAUACCCGGGUAGUCCCA
RNAcentral lists this ribosomal RNA (473 nucleotides) under uncultured organism. RNAcentral's name for it is "partial 16S ribosomal RNA". It matches the Rfam family "Bacterial small subunit ribosomal RNA", at positions 333 to 797 of the family's 1533-position model. The record is from RNAcentral.